GUUUUAUGCCACUUCUUUUUCUGUCUCAUUUUGUCCACCACACUUUUAACGUUGUGCGUGAAGGCACAAAGGGGCAAGUCCUCAAACGCCACUUUUCCUGACUUUCCACGGAGGCCAAGCUGCUCCAGGACUUUGUUUGUGGCAAUUUUCCUCAGCAUUGUCCUCACCGUGUCUGCCAAGUUCUGCCCACCGAGAGAAUGGGGAAUUCAAACUAAUUACCAGCUGCUUUCUGAGCAGAAGAUCAGUGUCGAGCCGUUCACAGAAGGCCUUCAGCUGCUCAAGAGUCUGGAAAGGCUGAUCAAUGAGAUCUUGAACAU
Long non-coding RNA from Entelurus aequoreus (snake pipefish), 317 nucleotides. RefSeq lists it as uncharacterized. The record is from RefSeq and is a predicted model, not a curated record. NCBI's taxonomy places the organism in Eukaryota, Metazoa, Chordata, Actinopteri, Syngnathiformes, Syngnathidae. The transcript has 3 exons.